UACGAAGGGGGCUAGCGUUGCUCGGUAUCACUGGGCUUAAAGGGCGCGUAGGCGGUGCGGUACGGUUUCGGUGAAAUCCCUCGGCCCAACCGAGGAACAGCCGGAGCUACGGCCGGACUAGACGGCAUCAGGGGACAGUGGAACUCCCGGUGGAGCGGUGAAAUGCGUAGAUAUCGGGAGGAACGCCGGUGGCGAAAGCGACUGUCUGGGGUGCCUGUGACGCUGAGGCGCGAAAGCCAGGGGAGCAAACGGG
This 253-nucleotide ribosomal RNA is filed under the name uncultured bacterium. RNAcentral's name for it is "partial 16S ribosomal RNA". It matches the Rfam family "Bacterial small subunit ribosomal RNA", at positions 524 to 776 of the family's 1533-position model. The record is from RNAcentral.